This 148-nucleotide ribosomal RNA is filed under the name Somatochlora metallica. RNAcentral describes it as "5.8S rRNA". It matches the Rfam family "5.8S ribosomal RNA". From Rfam's summary of the family: 5.8S ribosomal RNA (5.8S rRNA) is a component of the large subunit of the eukaryotic ribosome. It is transcribed by RNA polymerase I as part of the 45S precursor that also contains 18S and 28S rRNA. The record is from RNAcentral. Lineage: Eukaryota; Metazoa; Arthropoda; Insecta; Odonata; Corduliidae. RNAcentral also lists the same sequence under 6 other names.
CGGUGGAUCACUCGGCUCGUGGAUCGAUGAAGGACGCAGCAAACUGCGCGUCAAAGUGUGAACUGCAGGACACAUGAACAUCGACGUUUCGAACGCACAUUGCGGCCCACGGAUUCUGUUCCCGGGCCACGCCUGGCUGAGGGCCGGC